CAUGCUUCUACCAGCAAUGCAAAUCAGAGGCGACCUGGGCUAAUGCUUGUUCACUGUCCAUACUGCUCACCAGGCUGUACACACCAUGAUAGCAAGGUCUGAGAUCCCGAUGGUCACCCAGACUCUUAAUCAGCUCCAUGUUAUCAUUCACAACACAAUGACUGGUUUCAUGUGUUUGGUGGCUCUCAGUCAGAUUUUAUUUUUUAUUCUUUUGGAGAGGGAGUGUCUCAUGUAGUAGCCCAGGCUGGCCUGGAACUCAUCUGCAGUGGAAGAUAGCCUUGGACUGCUGAUCCUCCCACCUCUACCUCCCUGGUGCCAGAAUUGCAUGCUUGGUUAUGUGGUGCUGGGAACCAAACCCAGAGCUUCACAUGCGGGAGGUGGACUCUCACUUCCACAAGCCGCGUUACUAUCUUGUCACGUGUGUCCUCGCUCAUAUGAAAGUUCUCAAGAGUUCAUCUAUGAUCUCAACACUCAACUCAAGAGGUAGGGCCAGGAAGACUGAGUUACAGCGAGCCUGGGCCUGUCGGGAGAAAUAAGAGCGGUGGGUGACAGACAUGCACACGGAUUCUGACACCCUGAAGCUGAGCCAAGCAUCCUCAUUCUCGGGCACGAGAACAGAGCCAGGGCAGAAUUCCAUCUUCCCCAGCAGCUCAGUCUGCAGAGUGAAGAACUUGAAGAUUCAAGGUGACAGCAGACUGUUCCGUUUCAAGGGUGGCAGAGAGUUGGCAACUCGGUGCAGCUCUGCGCAAGCCGUCCCAGCUGGGUGACAUCAGACGAAAGUCUUUGCGCCUCUGUGCCUCGGGUUCCUCAUCCUUAAAGUGAAGAUACCAGUACGAGCUAUCCCAGGGCUGGCUAAGUCUUCUGUGGGUCCACGCUGUGAAGCCCUGAGCCCGGAGUAUCGGUGCGCUGAGUGGGCCCAUCAUGUGACUACAUUUCCGUGAA
Myodes glareolus (Bank vole) is the source of this 942-nucleotide non-coding RNA. Lineage: Eukaryota; Metazoa; Chordata; Mammalia; Rodentia; Cricetidae. The record is from RefSeq and is a predicted model, not a curated record.